UUCUGGGGUAGCUUAUCUAUGCUGAAGUUUUAAUAGCAAAAUUUUCUAUAUCAACCCAUAUCAACUUUUUAAAUAAAGAUAAAUUUAAACCAAAUAAAGGUCUAUUUUAUUUUAAAAAUGAGUCACUAAAGGGUCACCAUAUCUAGCUGGAAUAAAUAUGUGACUCCAAAUUUGAAAUCUAAUUUCUGUUAAUUCUGAGAAAUUUAAUAAAAAAAAGUAUAAAAAAGAGCGAUGUGUCUUAAAAUUCAGUUAAAUGUAACUAAUGCAAUAUCUAAGAAGUUUUCAAAAGUUACAUGUAACAAAAAAAAAAGUGAAUAGACAAUUAUUCACUACUCAGUGUACCGCGUUGAAAAAGUUAUGUGCAGUAUGCUGGAAUAUGCAUAUAUAAUCUAUAGCCUGUCAGGUGAUUGCGGCAAUCGAACAUUUAAAGUACACCAGCUGCGUAGUUAUUAGCAGAUCUUAAGCAACAGCUUCAUAUAUAGGUGAACAACAAUCGGCGAUCGAGAGCAUAAAGAAUAUAAUUGUAGAUGAAAAAAAGUUAACUGACAUGGAGGAUUGAAAGCUAUCUGAAUAAUGGAAAAUGAGUUACCUGCGUAAGGAUGAUUCGCUCCGGCUGUCAAAAUGCCAACAUUAUUAUUGCUGCUCAGUAUUUCGUGAACACUGUAAAGGGUGAAAGGCUGAAAGCUGCAAUGGAGAUUACGAAGCCGUAGCCAGCAGGUGUUCUGACUGUCCCUGCCAGAAUUCUACACCUCAUGUUUGAACACGACCUUAUCUUCAAUUCAGAUGGGUAUGUAAAGCUGCUAGAGCCUUUGGUCAGUCCCUGGUCAGAGAGGGUUACUGCUAGAAUGUUAUAUGCGUGUGCCAGCAGGUUUCGGCUCCUUGCCCUAUCUCCAGAAAGUGUCAAAAAUAGUUGUCGGAGAAUUUCUACGACUUCACCAGCUCUAAUUUCUAGUCUCCUAAUUCCUUCGAUUAUAAUGUCUUGGAUAACUAUGUACAGGCGCAGUCGGAAAAAACACCAACCGCUCUGCCUGUAACCCCAAGGCCCAGCUGGUGACUAAAAUCAAUUAAGUGUUCGAAGAUCUUCGCAAAAAGACAGUGAAGGGCGCAUGUGCCAGGUUCGAGAGCCGUCUUGAGGCCGUUGU
Molecule: long non-coding RNA, 1142 nt
Organism: Octopus sinensis (East Asian common octopus)
Lineage: Eukaryota; Metazoa; Mollusca; Cephalopoda; Octopoda; Octopodidae
Exons: 3
Source: RefSeq, a predicted model, not a curated record